GGGUUGUGAGGUUAAGCGACUAAGCGUACACGGUGGAUGCCCUGGCAGUCAGAGGCGAUGAAGGACGUGCUAAUCUGCGAAAAGCGUCGGUAAGGUGAUAUGAACCGUUAUAACCGGCGAUGUCCGAAUGGGGAAACCCAGUGCAA
RNAcentral lists this ribosomal RNA (146 nucleotides) under Klebsiella pneumoniae. RNAcentral describes it as "partial 23S ribosomal RNA". It matches the Rfam family "Bacterial large subunit ribosomal RNA", at positions 1 to 136 of the family's 2925-position model. The record is from RNAcentral. RNAcentral also lists the same sequence under 1 other name. Lineage: Bacteria; Pseudomonadati; Pseudomonadota; Gammaproteobacteria; Enterobacterales; Enterobacteriaceae.